UGGUUCCGGCAUNGAUGAAGAACGCAGCGAAAUGCGAUAAGUAAUGUGAAUUGCAGAAUUCAGUGAAUCAUCGAAUCUUUGAACGCACAUUGCGCCCCUUGGUAUCCCGAGGGGCAUGCCUGUCCGAGCGUCAUGUCAACAAUCGAGCCCGCUCGGUGUUGGACGCCGGCCCGUGCCACGGCGCGGGCCCGUCCCGAAUUGAUCGGCGAGGCCACCGACCCCCGGCGUGUUGGAUCAUCUGACGUCGAGAGCACCGGUGACCGAGCCGUCGAACCGCAUCAACAGGUUGACCUCGGAUCAGGUAGGAAUACCCGCUGA
RNAcentral lists this unclassified non-coding RNA (318 nucleotides) under uncultured fungus. RNAcentral describes it as "partial contains 5.8S ribosomal RNA and internal transcribed spacer 2". The stretch from base 1 to 133 matches the Rfam family "5.8S ribosomal RNA", at positions 22 to 154 of the family's 154-position model. Lineage: Eukaryota; Fungi. The record is from RNAcentral.